Zonotrichia leucophrys gambelii is the source of this 517-nucleotide long non-coding RNA. RefSeq lists it as uncharacterized. Lineage: Eukaryota; Metazoa; Chordata; Aves; Passeriformes; Passerellidae. The record is from RefSeq and is a predicted model, not a curated record. The transcript has 3 exons.
UCUCCCUCCGUCCCACACGAUGCCCGCAGCGGCAUGCCCUACAUAACAUGGGCAGGGAGAGGGACUUCACUGCAGUGCUAGCAUGGGCGGGCUGCUGGGGGAAGGGAGGAGAGGCCGCCUUUCCAAAUUGUCAUGAUCACAAGAAAUUCUUGUGAUUCUCCAAGCGGCUCCCUUGCUUUAGCAGCAAGGAUGCCGUGCUGGGAUUUAAGCUGCUGAACACAAGAAGGGAGCAAAUAUUGCCAAUUUCGUUCCCGACAGCACAGGAUGGGCUGCAGCGAAGCUACGGGAAAGGGAGGGGUGUGCUCCGCUGGGAUCGGCCCGUCUGCAUCCAACACAGCCCCGAGAGCAGAGGCAUUCCCAUCCGUGCCAGCAGAAAAUAAAGACAUCGUCUCAGUCACCCAAGAACAUUCACAUUGUCAGCAUAGCCAUUACUUGGAAAUUUUCGUUCUUCCUCACAUGAGAUGUCUUCUGCUGCACAUCCCACAAAUCAAGCCUACUGCUCAAAGUCUCUGUGGAA